This 722-nucleotide ribosomal RNA is filed under the name Mammaliicoccus sciuri. RNAcentral describes it as "bacterial SSU rRNA". It matches the Rfam family "Bacterial small subunit ribosomal RNA", at positions 56 to 751 of the family's 1533-position model. Lineage: Bacteria; Bacillati; Bacillota; Bacilli; Caryophanales; Staphylococcaceae. The record is from RNAcentral.
UGCAGUCGAGCGACAGAUGAGAAGCUUGCUUCUCUGAUGGUAGCGGCGGACGGGUGAGUAACACGUGGGUAACCUACCUAUAUGACUGGGAUUACUCCGGGAAACCGGGGCUAAUACCGGAUAAUAUUUUGAACCGCAUGGAUCGGUACCGACAGACCGCUUCCGCUGUCACUUAUACAUGGACCCGCGCCGUGUUAGCUAGGUGGUAAGGCAACGGCUUACCAAGGCGACGAUGCGUAGCCAACCUGAGAGGGUGAUCGGCCACACUGGAACUGAGACACGGUCCAGACUCCUACGGGAGGCAGAAGUAGGGAAUCUUCCGCAAUGGGCGAAAGCCUGACGGAGCAACGCCGCGUGAGCCUGAAGGUCUUCGGAUCUUAAAACUCUGUUGUUAGGGAAGAACAAAUUUGUUUUGCCUGAACAAGUCUUGACGGUACCUAACCCGAAAGCCACGGCUAACUACGUGCCAGCAGCCGCGGUAAUACGUAGGUGGCAAGCGUUAUCCGGAAUUAUUGGGCGUAAAGCGCGCGUAGGCGGUUUCUUAAGUCUGAUGUGAAAGCCCACCUGCUCAACCGUGGAGGGUCAUUGGAAACUGGGACUCUUGAGUGCAGAAGAGGAGAGUGGAAUUCCAUGUGUAGCGCGUGAAAUAUCGCAGAGGAUAUACCAGGUAACACCAGUCGGCGCAACGUCGGACUCUCUGCUGCUGUCAUCUGACGCUGAUG